GGUCGAUUAGCUCAGCGGGAGAGCGCUUCCUUCACACGGAAGAGGUCACAGGUUCGAAACCCGUAUCGCCCACCA
This 75-nucleotide transfer RNA is filed under the name Synergistaceae bacterium. RNAcentral describes it as "tRNA-Val". It matches the Rfam family "tRNA". Rfam says of the family: Transfer RNA (tRNA) molecules are approximately 80 nucleotides in length. The record is from RNAcentral. Lineage: Bacteria; Thermotogati; Synergistota; Synergistia; Synergistales; Synergistaceae.